GUACCCGUAGCUCAAUUGGAUAGAGUGUCGGCCUCCGACGCCGAAGGUUGCGAGUUCGAGCCUCGCCGGGUACGCCA
Molecule: transfer RNA, 77 nt
Filed under: Pseudomonadota bacterium
Lineage: Bacteria; Pseudomonadati; Pseudomonadota
Description: tRNA-Arg
Rfam family: tRNA
About the family: Transfer RNA (tRNA) molecules are approximately 80 nucleotides in length.
Source: RNAcentral